AGGUGGCGCCCAUGCAUCAUUUUUAUGAGGUGGCAUGUAGGCUAGCAAUCAACCCUAUAAACAGAAACUGUUCCUAGGAAUGAUAACAAGGGGGAAUCACAGAAACAGUCUAAAAGUGAGCAUGCCUACAGAUUUGACAACAGCCCUAACAUUUGAAAACUUUAAAUUCACCUUAGUGCAAGGUUUUUGAGAUGAGCUUGACCUUGAAUCUCAUUCUUUCUAUAAAAAACCCUUUAAAAACACAUUUUAAUUUGUGAAGACAAAGCUAUUCUCCUCUUUCACUGUUUCUUUGUUAUUUCUGCAAAAACUGCAAAAGUCAGAGCUUCCAGAAGACCAUAUAUUUUACUCUCCGUGCAACCAGCACAUGUCCUUCUCUGGUUUCCAGUUUCCUAAAGUGUUAUUCAGAAUCCAGCGCAAGGAAACUUCUCCAUUUCCGACAGCCUUUUAAAUCCAUGAAGUUUUAUGAAAUCAGUAUUAGCUUUCUUUGGAUAUGGGCUUCUGAUGGCACCUUGUCUUUUAUCUAGAUCAUUUUAUGGUCCAUUAAUUGAAUAGAUAAUGUUUCUCUGCAAGGGCUGAAGGGUCAUUUAACAUUUUCAACAGGAUUGCAUGUCAGACGUACACCUUACUGAGUUCAAGGGGGCUUACUCCAAGGUAAGUGGGUAUAAGAUUGCAGUCUUAAUGCAUAUAUGCACCCUUGGAGGGCUGGAUCCACUCUUCCUGUGAAACAGUUCUGAGCCAUUGAUUUCAAUGGAGAGGCAAACAUGUGCUAAAUCUCUCUCACCAAAAUUAGCAGGACUUAAAACUGCUGAACUGUGGCUGGAUCACCUCUUCUAUUAUUAUCUGCAUUUAAUUUAAAAAUUAAAAAUGCACAAUUUAUAGAAAAUGGGGUGGUGGCGGAAAUAAUUUGAUAAAUACUCCCCCCCCCCAUUCCUCAUUUGAAGAGCCUAGAUACACACUGAUAGCAUUGUUGUGGCUCUAUGUAUGUGCUUGUAAAAGUCCCAUUAGUGAGGAGAAGUGCCUCCAUAUGUAGCAGGUCUGAUACCAAUAGUUGCCCUGUCAAGGUGCAAAAUCCAAAUCCGGAUAGGUUAUUUACAGUGGUGAACAGUGGGGUGGGGUGGGGUGGUGGCAAUUACCUGACCUCUGAACAGCUGAGUCGCUGUUGUUUAUGGGGAGAAUGGGAGGGGCAAGGUAGCAGGGUGCGAGGCAAAGGCAGCAGUCCAUGCAGUCCAACUCUCCUGCCGGUGCAUUUGCACUGUGCUGACCUCCUCACCACAUUUCUCCUACACUUUUCUUUUGUUAAAUAAAUUUGUAUUGUUUUCCACAAAUUAACUCCACAUUAACACUACCCCCCCAAUCCCCAUGUGUAGCAAUAUCUUUUCAAAACCUUUUAAUCAAGAUUCCAAGAGUCUCCACUCUUCCCUCCAUCCCCUCUUCUGGUUCUUUAUAUAAACAAAAUUCUCUUACAUUUCCAUAUCUAUUUACCCAGUUCUCUAAUAAUUACACAAAGUUAAUCAAAACUUGAUAACACUUCAAAUCAUUUACCAUUAUUUAACACAGAUAUCGUUUAAGCAUCUAGAAUAUCUUUUAACACAACUUUCUGCAUUCUGCAUCUGUUCUUAACUAUUAUUUACUCAAUUUUCUAAUAAUUACCUAUAAUUAAUCAAAACUUACUAAAACUACAAAUCAUUUACCAUUAUUUAACACAUAUGUCAUUUAAGCAUCUAGAAUAUCAUUUAACACAACUACACUUUUCACUUCUAAGUAAGCAGCUACUACUCAGCUCAGCAUCAACACCACACCAACAGACACCAAGCUGUCCACUACUGGCUGCUUAGGCAGCUAAGGAAGGAAAAUUAAGAAGUACUCUUUUCUGUCCUUAGAAGUGAAGCUAGAGGCAACACACAGACUGUUGUCAUUGGUGCCUAGAGCAGCCCAAAGGAGACCACAGCCAUUCAUUCAUUGUCCAGAGGAGCCUAGAGGAUAUGGAGAGCUGAUGUCUGGAAAGUGAUGGCCUUCAGGUAGUUGCUAAAAGGAAAGCAACACUUUUGGGCGAUCCUUUGAGAGUUGUUUUUAAUACUCUCAAUACAGUAUUGAAUAUGUGGUUUUAGUGUUGCUUUUCAUCGCAAAUCACUUUGAGUAUUAUUUGAACAGAAAAAUACAGUAUAAAUGUUAACUCUAGUUUAAUCUAAUAAUAAAUUAUCUAACAUUCAUUUGCUGCCUGAUCACAACACCCGAAAAUCCAGCUACCUCACUCUACCUAAUGCUUAGGGCUGACCCUGAGGAAGCAUGCUGCAGAAAUGUAGCAGAACCAGUCAUUCUGAUUCUGUCCAAUGUGAAGUUAUUUGGUAUCUGAAAGGGGCUUUUGUCAUUCGUAUAAUUAGGAUUGCAGAUUACCACACAAAUUUGCAGUUCUAGCAGAUGAGAGCACAUUUCCUCAUCCUCUUCCUCAUCAGGAAGAAAGAUUACUUUGUGGUGAUGGGCAUGUAAGGCCUCCUAAUAAUAAAGCACAAAAUAUUUGAGUAGGAUUAUUUCUCCUGGCAUGCUAUGGCAAGAUUAUUUUCCAUGGGUGUUUGUUGUAUCUAUGUAUCUAUGCUGUUGUUUUUUAAAGUGCUUAAAAUUGUCAUGUUCAUUUGGCAAUAUGCUGGAACUGCAAUACACUGGAUUCCAAACCAGAUUGCCCUCUCAAUCGAGUUUGAGACCCUUUGCAAAUUAUACUGGCACAGCACGCAAGACUCUGAGAAAAGUCCUGAAAAGACCUACUUCGGUUCCCAGUACGUUUCCAAGCAGAAUACAAGGUGGUGCAGACCUUUAAAGCCCUAAAUGGCCUCAGCCCAGUAUACCUGAAGGAGCGUCUUCACCCUCAUUGUUCAGCCCAGACACUGAGAUCCAGCUCCAAGGACCUUCUGGCAGUUCCCUCACUGUGAGGUUACAGGAAACCAGGCAGAGGGCCUUCUCGGUAGUGGCACCCACCCUGUAGAACACCCUCCCAUCAGAUGUCAAGGAGGUAAGUAACUAUUCAAUCUUUAGAAGACAUCUGAAGGCAGCCCUGUAUAGGGAAGUUUUUAAUGUUUAAUGUUUUACUAUGUUUUUGUAUAUGCUGAAAGCCAUCCAGAGUGGCUGGGGCAACACAGUCAGAUGAGCAGGGUAUUAUUAUUAUUAUUAUUAUUAUUAUUAUUAUAGACUGCAACCUUCCCUCUAAUUUACUAAUCAUUAAUGACUACAGCCACAUUCUUUUUUGUUUGAUCAACUGGGGCAGCAGAUGCUUAACGGAGUGUCCAAUCUAAAAGGGGUAUCUGUCUAUCUGUCUGUCUGUCUGUCUGUCCCUAUCUCCUCCAUCUUUUGGGGUCCCUGGACAUAAGAAUAAAUAUAUAUCAAGGUCUGCUAUCCAGCUGCUAUUUGGAAACUGCUGAGCCUAAGAUGAUCUCCUCGUUGCCAUCACCGCUUAUUAGAGGGGGUUUUUCUUCUGGUGACAGAGGACAGAACCACGAGACCGGUGUAAAACACUCAAACAAAGGUUUUAUUACAGCUAUACAAAACAACAAACACAAAGCAUGUGGGAGUUCUCUCUCUGCAGGCAAAUUCAGACUGCAACUCCUCCUCCUUUUGUACUCAUCACCAGCUGUACCUAAUCAGCCUAGAAAACCACUCACAGUAACAGUUCUUAAAGUUAAAAUCAUCUUUUCUGUUUCUUUGCAGAAUGACUCCUAACACCGCUCCCUCAUCCAAUUGCAUUCUUCCAAGGGAACACUCCAGGCCUGAUCCACAGCACAUACUGCCUAGAACAGGAAUGGAGAACCCAUGGGCCCCCCAGGUGGUGCUGGACUCUAAUUCCCAACAGCCCC
Molecule: non-coding RNA, 3842 nt
Organism: Podarcis lilfordi (Lilford's wall lizard)
Lineage: Eukaryota; Metazoa; Chordata; Lepidosauria; Squamata; Lacertidae
Source: the annotation of a GenBank genome assembly